Molecule: ribosomal RNA, 458 nt
Filed under: uncultured bacterium
Lineage: Bacteria
Description: partial 16S ribosomal RNA
Rfam family: Bacterial small subunit ribosomal RNA
Source: RNAcentral
GAUCAACGCUGGCGGCGUGCAUGAGACAUGCAAGUCGAACGAAGGAUCGGGCUUGCUCGAUCCUUAGUGGCGGACGGCUGAGUAACGCGUAGGUGACCUACCCCGAAGUGGGGAAUAACUGCCCGAAAGGGUGGCUAAUACCGCAUGUGGUCGCACGUUCAUUCGUGCGAGUAAAGCUGCAAGGCGCUUCGGGAGGGGCCUGCGUCCGAUUAGCUCGUUGGUGGGGUAAUGGCUUACCAAGGCGACGAUCGGUAGGUGGUCUGAGAGGACGAUCACCCAGACUGGGACUGAGACACGGCCCAGACUCCUACGGGAGGCAGCAGUCGGGAAUUUUGCUCAAUGGGGGAAACCCUGAAGCAGCAACGCCGCGUGAGGGAUGAAGGCCUUCGGGUUGUAAACCUCUUUUGUCAGGGACGAUGAUGACGGUACCUGGCGAAUAAGCCACGGCUAACUACGUG